This 253-nucleotide ribosomal RNA is filed under the name uncultured bacterium. RNAcentral's name for it is "partial 16S ribosomal RNA". It matches the Rfam family "Bacterial small subunit ribosomal RNA", at positions 524 to 776 of the family's 1533-position model. The record is from RNAcentral.
GACGUAGGAGGCGAGCGUUGUCCGGAUUUACUGGGCGUAAAGCGCGCGCAGGCGGUCGCGCAGGUCAUCUGUGAAAACUCGAGGCUCAACCUCGAGAUGUCGGCGGAAACCGUCUGGCUAGAGUCCGGAAGAGGAGAGUGGAAUUCCUGGUGUAGCGGUGAAAUGCGCAGAUAUCAGGAAGAACACCUAUGGCGAAGGCAGCUCUCUGGGACGGUACUGACGCUGAGACGCGAAAGCGUGGGGAGCGAACAGG